Long non-coding RNA from Tripterygium wilfordii, 849 nucleotides. RefSeq lists it as uncharacterized. The record is from RefSeq and is a predicted model, not a curated record. The transcript is spliced from 3 exons. Lineage: Eukaryota; Viridiplantae; Streptophyta; Magnoliopsida; Celastrales; Celastraceae.
UCUUCUCUAACGAUUUCCUCUCUCCCCUCUUUCUCUCUCUAAAACGGGUUCAACGGUGAUUUCUUGAUUCCGGCAAUGAUGGUGGUCGUGGUUGGUACCAAAAGAAGCGUAUGGACGAGACGAGUGUAACCCAACUUGAAUCAUGUUGAACGGAGCUCCGGUUUGGGAGAAAUCUGAGAUUGAAGUUCUAGCCACCGUGAACUUUCUUUGGUCGAUCUGGCCGAUUCCGGCGACGGUUUGGCUUGAUUUAGUUACCUAUGAGUUCAUCUCAACGAGCUCUUCAAUUUGGUGUAAGAUUUGAUAGGUUUAGGUUGCCGAAUCGCCGGCGGUGACGUUAGCCGAGUUUGACUGGGUUUGGGCCGAGUUCGGCCGAGUUGACCCGGUUUGACCAGACGGUGAUCCCAGUUGAGAUUCGGAGCUGGUUGACUUUUCGGAGUCACGGGUUAAUCGGGGAUGCGUGCUUGAUAUUUGCAUCCUGAUUUCCAGGUGAGAUGGAUAUUGGUGACGCUGGUCAGCAGCGGGACGCAUGAGCUGGUGUGUAGAGCCUCGAGCUGUUUCUUUAGCGAGUUUUGAGAAUUUUGGCUGGUCAGCGGCGGGACGCAUGAGCUGGCGUGUAGCCUCGAGCUGUUUCUUUAGCGAGUUUUGAAAAUUUUGGGUAUUGUAUUUGUAUAUGUGUUACGUAUUUACUCAGUCUGAUAUCGGUUAGAUAUGUUUUUUUUAAUUUUAUUUCCGCUGUUGUAUAGAUACUCCGACUAUUUUAGGUGGGUGUAUAUAGGUGGUAUUUUGGAGAGACUGUUUCCACAUUAUGUUUCAGGAGUUGUUACCAUUUUAUAUAAUUUACAUAUUAUG